UGGCACUAGCUAAAUUUAACUUGCGCACCGUCAUGGAGUGUCGGGGGCCGGAGGUUCAAAUCCUCUCGUGCCGACCA
This 77-nucleotide transfer RNA is filed under the name Enterobacter asburiae. RNAcentral's name for it is "tRNA-Ser". RNAcentral also lists the same sequence under 1 other name. The record is from RNAcentral. Lineage: Bacteria; Pseudomonadati; Pseudomonadota; Gammaproteobacteria; Enterobacterales; Enterobacteriaceae.